UGGGGAAUAUUGCACAAUGGGCGCAAGCCUGAUGCAGCAACGCCGCGUGAGCGAGGAAGGCCUUCGGGUCGUAAAGCUCUGUCCUAGGGGAAGAAGAAGUGACGGUACCCAAGGAGGAAGCCCCGGCUAACUACGUGCCAGCAGCCGCGGUAAUACGUAGGGGGCGAGCGUUAUCCGGAAUUAUUGGGCGUAAAGAGUACGUAGGUGGUUUUGUAAGCGCGGGGUGAAAGGCAGUGGCUUAACCAUUGUUAGCCUUGCGAACUGCAAGACUUGAGUGCAGGAGAGGGAAGCGGAAUUCCUAGUGUAGCGGUGAAAUGCGUAGAUAUUAGGAGGAACACCAGUGGCGAAGGCGGCUUUCUGGACUGUAACUGACACUGAGGUACGAAAGCGUGGGGAGCAAACAGGAUUAGAUACCC
Molecule: ribosomal RNA, 416 nt
Filed under: uncultured bacterium
Lineage: Bacteria
Description: bacterial SSU rRNA
Rfam family: Bacterial small subunit ribosomal RNA
Source: RNAcentral